GACGAAGGGGGCUAGCGUUGUUCGGAAUUACUGGGCGUAAAGGGCGCGUAGGCGGUUUGUUAAGUCAGGCGUGAAAGCCCUGGGCUCAACCUGGGAGGUGCGCUUGAUACUGGCAGGCUUGAGUGCAGGAGAGGAUGGUGGAAUUCCCAGUGUAGAGGUGAAAUUCGUAGAUAUUGGGAAGAACACCGGUGGCGAAGGCGGCCAUCUGGACUGCAACUGACGCUGAGGCGCGAAAGCGUGGGGAGCAAAC
Molecule: ribosomal RNA, 250 nt
Filed under: uncultured bacterium
Lineage: Bacteria
Description: partial 16S ribosomal RNA
Rfam family: Bacterial small subunit ribosomal RNA
Source: RNAcentral